AAAGACAGACAGUAAUUCGGUACUUACUACAUUAAAAAAAUCUGAAGUAAUGAAAACCUCUCUAAAUAUGGAUAUCAUUACACAUUUACAACACAAGGGGAGUGUGGUUUAUAUACCUGGAUGGAAACAGAAAGCCAUGUUAUAUCCAACUUGGUUUGAGACUUGUCUUAAUGCAUUAAAAAACCCUGGAGAUAAAGUUGGUUCACAAGCUACUUGUGUUGAGCAGGAAACCUUGGCUUGGACACAAAAACAACUGUUGAAACUUAUUCCCUCACAGAAUGAUUCGUUAGAAGAAAUGCUGCCUUAUUUAGGAAUCAUAAAAAUUCCUUGUUUGCGUAUCAAAAAUACAGAUGAACAUUUUUUAUACACUCUACCUCAAUAUAUCAUGAC
Patella vulgata (common limpet) is the source of this 390-nucleotide long non-coding RNA. RefSeq lists it as uncharacterized. The transcript is spliced from 3 exons. The record is from RefSeq and is a predicted model, not a curated record. NCBI's taxonomy places the organism in Eukaryota, Metazoa, Mollusca, Gastropoda, Patellidae.